RNAcentral lists this ribosomal RNA (833 nucleotides) under bacterium 10F. RNAcentral's name for it is "bacterial SSU rRNA". It matches the Rfam family "Bacterial small subunit ribosomal RNA", at positions 53 to 852 of the family's 1533-position model. The record is from RNAcentral.
AUUGUGCGCAUGUUAUUGUAUGGGNUCAGACGGUAUUCGGCUCUUAGNUGGCGCACGGGCUGCAGUAACGCGCGGCAGAAUGCUGGGUCAUUGAAUACGGAAAUAACCCCGUGGAAUGGAGUGAUACUAGGGGAAGCCCAGGCUUGUCCCGCAUACUUCCUCCGAGAGAAGAGGGGCUUCAGCUCCCGCUAUCUGAUGAGCCUAUGUCGGAUUAGCUAGAUGAGUGAGGUAUCGGCUCACCAAGGCCACGAUCCGUAUGUGGUCGGAGAGGAUGAUCAACCCCAUCGGGAGUGAGACACGGCCCGAACUCCUACGGGAGGCAGCACUGGGGAAUAUUGGACAAUGGGGGGAACCCUGAUCCAGCCAUGCCGCGUGUGUGAAGAAGGCCCUCUGGUUGUAAAGCACUUUCAGCAAAGGAAGAACGCCUACCGGUUAAUACCCCCUAGGAAAGACAUCACUCGCAGAAUAAGCACCGGCUAACUCCGUGCCAGCAGCCGCGGUAAUACUGAGGGUGCAAGCGUUAAUCGGAAUUACUGGGCGUAAAGCGCGCGUAAGUGGCUUGAUAAGCCGGUUGUGAAAGCCCCGGGCUCUACCUGGGAACGGCAUCCGGAACUGUCUAUCUAGAGUGCACGAGAGGAAGGUAGAAUUCCCGGUGUAUCGGUUAAAUGCGUAGAGAUCCGGAGGAAUACCAGUGGCGUAAGCCGCCUUCUGGACUGACUCUGACACUGAGGUGCGAAAGCGUGUGUUGCAAACAGGAUUAGAUACCCUGGUAUCCCACGCCCUAAACCAUGUCGACCACCCCUUGGGUGCCCUAGCGCAUUUUUGUGGCCGAA